This is a non-coding RNA of Abortiporus biennis, 99 nucleotides long. The record is from the annotation of a GenBank genome assembly. Lineage: Eukaryota; Fungi; Basidiomycota; Agaricomycetes; Polyporales; Podoscyphaceae.
GACUUCUUAGCUCAGUGGUAGAGCGUGUGAUUCCAGUUUACAUUAGACCGAUGUAAUCGUGGUUCCACAAGGUCAUCCGUUCAAUCCGGGUAGAGGUCA